GUGAGCUACAUUUAAACCGAGACCAGGAGGGGCUGAUUUGUUUUGGCGCAGGGAACUGAGAAGGAGACGAGCCACCGAGGUCUCCUUGCUCCUCCUUGGAGGCUCCUUAACUUGUCCUUGCUGUCGCCGGCCCCGGGGACCAGCUUCCUUUGGCCCGGGUGGGUGAGCCCGGCUGCCCCCCCGCCCCCAGCCGCCGCCUGCGCAGCCCCGGCGCUGGGAAAUUUCGGUGCGAGCCGUGUAUGGGAGCGGGCGAUUGCAGGGGGUCCAGAGGUGGGGUUUUUUCCGUGUUUGUUGGCUUUUUCUUCCCCAGAAGUUAGAUAAAUUAUCGUCUGUGCGGCUCGCCGGUGCCUGUGCUGCUCAGCUCUUUUCAUACCAAAUGAAGUCCCUUCAAUUCUGGGAGCUUUCUGGUGAUUCCAAAGUGCAUCUGUGAGCCCACUUGGGGUUACACUCCUUGAGCCCUUGAGUUUCGUCUUCUCUUUGCUAUUGGUGACAACUUAGCUGACAACCAUUUGUUACAACUGGGAGCCAUUUGCUUGUGAUAAUUACGGCUACACUGAAAUGCAGGAACUUAAGAAUGAAGAUGAGCAGGAAGCUGUGGCCAUAACCCCCCCACCUACUUCACUUCUCUCGCCAGCUACUAAAUAUUGCAAAGCUCAUAAAUUGUGGAAGUUGGCAAAUCAGAACAUUGCUUAAGUUUAAAACUGAGACCUGGGGCCAGGACAUUUCAAUCCUGUAUUACCUGGAAUAUAUCAUUACUGACAGACUCGCUGGGAUUCGGUUUCUACCAGCUAUAAAGUGGGAUUCUCAAAUUAUGUCAUGCCAGCCUAGUUGCCUUUGAUGACAUGAUACACCAUUUGGAAAGGGAAAAGCCAUUAGACGUGACACAACUUGGCAUCCAUCAGCCUUUUGAUGCUGUUCCAUGUCCUGAUGAACUGAGGAAAUGCGAUCUGGGCAAAGCCCCUGUAGGAUGGGUGGGAAAUUGCUCUGAAACAGUGAUUAUCUUGUGGUUCCAGGUCAAAAUACCACGACCUCUUAAGCAAGGGUUUCUACUCAGCACGGUGCUGGACAGUAUUUUCAGGAACAUCCUGGAUGUUGGAAGAGGGUGUCCUUAUUAAAUACAGAAACUACACCAAGGUGAGAAAAACUGGAAGACAAGCUGACAAUUCUGCACGAGUUUCACAGGGUGGAGACUUGGGUCCUGAAACACGGUCUGUGGUGUCUAUUAUGGAAGUAGAGCUUGCAAGGCAGGAGGCAUUUCUUCCACUGGACUUGGCUCUGGUAAAACCUAAGCAGGAGUGUUGUCUAGUUUUGGGCUUAGGUACGGCUCUCCUAUUGCCUUCCAGGCUUGUGAGUCUAUGUUAAUAGCAGCUGCUUAUUUCACAGGGAUAUUUAAUUUAUUAUGGCAUGUAAGAAGAUCCCAAGAAUUGAGAAUAGUUAAGAAAUGAACAGAAAUAGGGUCUACACUGUACUUUAAUCUGAGGGGCUAGUCCUCCAGUCCAUCGGCAAAUGACUAUUCCUUCUUCAUCGUGAGCAUCAUUCACCUGAACAAGUCCUGCUUUUGUAACCUAAACUGUAAAGAUUCCGAUCUUUGUGGGGAAAUUUGGAAGGAACAGGAGCACUUCUGAGCCAUGUAUAUGUUAGCAAUACUUGCUGCCAUUACUGGGUAACAAACAUAAACCAAAAGCAACGGGUCAAGUAGUCUCAUUUGCUGGGACUGACAUUUCCAAAGGAGCGGGAUGAAGCUCUCCUGGCUUGAUACUCAGGUUAGCUCUGCCUUUUGUUUGCACAAGAAACCCCCCAGUAGCUAUAAGAAGCUAUUCCUAGAAGCUAAGGCCAGAAGGGGUUUACCGAGACCGCCAGCCCCAAUGCCGUGUGAGCAGGAGGUGCCAAAUGUCCACCUGGCAUCCCUCUACCAGGCCAGUAAAUUGUCGGCAUUGCCCCGGCCGAGCCCGGGGAGGGCUGGCUGGCACGGUCCCUUCUCUGUCCUGGGACCAGGCAUCCUGCAGCGCUGCAGGCCAGUGCAAGGCGACCGUGCCCGGUAUGUGCAGCAUGUGCAGCACUCCCGGGAGCGCUUCCAGCCAGGCUGGGCUCUUCUUGAUAAAGCGAUACCUGGAAAUAGGCUGCUGUUAGCAGCCCGCUUCCAGGUACCAUUGGUUUUGUGAGUCCGGCAUCCCACCUCCCUCACAUCGCAGAGGUCUGCAGGGCUGAGGGGCUACGGGGAAGAUGGCAAAUGAGAGCAGCCCCUAAACAACCCCCUGGGAAUUUAUCUGGGGGGGGAUCCUCAGGGGUCCCAAGCAAAAGGAGCCAUGGGGAAGAUGCUGUGGGGGGCUCAGCCGAAGCACCUCGGUGCUCGCUGACCUGGAGGCUGGACCUGCUGUGGUGUCUCACCCAGCCCUCAUCCUCCUGGGCAGAUGUGUAAAAGUGCGCCUUGCUUCUCUAGCCUGGUGUUGGCUGCUUUCUUGGCAAAUCUCGGGGAGACCAAGCCCUGCAGGCGACGUAAGAAGCAGAAACACCACGAACAAUGUUUUGACGCUCCGGGGAGAACAUUAUUACAUUUAUAGGCAAGAGGAGGAGAAGGGCUACAACAGCCUUCAAGAAGCUAAUGUCAUUCCCUACAUAGGGGUGUUAUGUGCGUAAAUCCCUCCACAUGCAGAUGAUAUCACGCCCCUAGUUUGCAGCUCUCUUGCUGGUAUCGCUGAAGCAUGCUUCUCCUCCAGGCAUGGCACUAAUAGGGCAGUUAACCCCUGCUGCCUCUGCUGCUCUUUGGCCACAAGCUCUGAGCAAGGGGACAACAUGCUCUUGCGCUGUUUAGCAGCAGGCCAAGAAUCUGCACCCAUCUGGGGGUCUCGAGCCUCAGCCUGGUUCACUCGUUGAGUUUUGGGAUGGGGGGGUCUAUUAUAUGUUGCCUGCAAGAGGGAGCAGAGGCUGCCUCCUCUGCAACUUCAUGGUGAACCUCAAGAUAAAGAAUUUUUUUUGAGAGAGACUCUUAAUCUAGUCAGUGGUCACUUCCACCUGCAUGCAUACAACACAACAGAUGAUAGUGUUUUUUAACACAGACAACCUAUAGAUUUCUAUGUCCCUUGCAGAUGUGCUUGGGCUGGUAUAGAAAUUGUUGCCUUCCAGAACCACCUUCUGAUCCCCCUGCCUGCCCUUGUUUGCUUAGGCACAGUAAAUAGCAAAAUCCCCAGCAUCUUCCUAGGACAUGCAUCCUAGGACAUGAGUUAUAAUUUGUCCUUGAUUUAUCAUUUUAAGAAAACACUGCCUUAGGACACGCAAGAGCAUGCACAGCUCAGGCUCUGGACUAACUCAUCUUCACCUCCCGUGAGCAUCUCUCUCCCUCAGCUCCUCGGCCUUGGUGGGAGAUGAGUCAAACCUUUCUCGAAUUGCCUUGAUCUGGAAGUGGGUGGCUUUGGAGUCCUUCAGGGCCCACGUGUGCGUCACCCUGAUGGGGUGAUUCACGCAGGAGCGGUUUUUCUGGAGCCUGAGUGUUUGCAGGCUCAGUCAUCCCGGUCCAGGGCCAGUCUAGUUAUCGACAGGGCUUUGCUGGAGGCUUACGUUGCUGUUGGUCAGCAUCAGAAGGUGGCUGUAAAGGUAGUAAAUAAAUGAAUGAAGCAAAUCCAGCUUUGGUGUAAGCAGCAAGUUCUCCUGCUGCUGUCAGGGGGCAUUGCAUCAGAGCCGGAUUGGGCUCCUGGGGAGGCGGCGCGAGCCAGCGGGCAAAGCAACAGGGGGAGUCAGAGACCUGGCUUUGCAACCUGCCUCUGCCACCCACUGCCCUCAUCGCCCCGAGCAAAUCACCUCUUCUCCCCUCCCAGCUUGGAUUGCUUGUAUUUCUGUAUACUGUAAGUUCGUUCCUCAAGGGAGGGGCUGCAUUUUACAGCUGCAAGCAGUAUAAGGGAUACCACUAACACCCAAAUAAUUGGCUGUCAGUUUGCAGAGUAGAAAAGAAAAUGGUGCGGUGUAACAUUCUGGAGUCCUUUUGGGUAAUAUAAGAUCUAUUGCAAAGCACUUUGGCUGCAACAACAAAGCUUAUUGAUUAGCCCGAAGUAUUCCAAAUUGGGUCUUUCUGCCCGAGAAGUAGCAGGAUGAAGAAUUAAAGUACUUACACAUGAGAAUAUUGUACAUGAGUUAUUAAGUAACAAUCAGCUCUACUCCAGCGCUGCUCAGUUCCUCUGGACUGCAUGUAACUUCUGAACAUUUUAUCUUUUUCCUUUGGCUUUUGCAGGCGUGUGCCAGCUUCUGCAGCAUAUAAACUAGGUGCUAUUUUUAUUGAAUCUGGCUUUAAUGUAGUAGAUUUUUCACACGUGUGUUGGUUUUUUAUUGUUGGUCUCAUUCCUGAACUUUCUGGCACCUCUAAGUGUAAAGUCAGUUAUGCGCACAUUGUUUGGCAGAUGAAUUUCUGUUUCUGGGAAUCAUUUUCCUUCUAAAAUGUAUUUUUAUAUUAAAAGUGUGAUCUGUAUCCAUAACCAAGAUAUACUGUCCUAAGACUCCAGCCCAAAGAUUUCUGCAGCCAGAGAUCACUACAACAGGGGAUGCAAUCCUGUAAGGAGACCUCCGCUUUCCAAGCCGUGAGCAUUUAUAUUAAGAUCUUGUUUUACUGAUUCAACCUCUGCCUCUUGGAGUAGGAAAAUUCCCUUCUGAUCUGGCACUGGGGAAAAUCCAGCCAGAAACAGAGGAUAAAAAGUGCUGUCUUCCAACGUUGCCUCCCUUUCCAGCUUGUCUCCCUGCUAGAUCAAGAGCAACCGCCCGUCUCGCCGAGCCUCCCUACUACCAGCUUUAUCCCAGCGACUGCCUCGGCAGCCCCCGGUCCUCCCUUCAGCAUCCCCAGGUCCCAUGUGAAAGGCGGGGGCUCGGGGAGCCAGCUGCCCACCCUUCCGUAGGUGCUGUCCCCCUUUUCUCCAUCUGUGCACAAGCUGCCAGGGAAGAAGUAACCGUGGCUGUGUGUGGUUUUCUCGCCCAGGGUGACCUGGAACACAUCUGCAAAGCCCUCCAAAGUAGCAGGAAUGCGCUCCGUUAGGACAUGAUUCAUCCUGCAUACCGCAUGGGUGGCUGCUCAGGGAGAAUUUUGACAUUUGCAUACGCUGAGACUUUCCACUUCUUGGUUGCCCUCGAACCCCUGCACUUUGUCUGGUUGAGCGCACGGGGGCUGCGCAGCCAGAAACCCCCUCCCGGAGGGGAUCUCCCCCAGCUGGAGCCAAUCCAGCGGUGGUGGUUCUCCCCCCGGCUGCGUCACGGGGCAGAAAUGAGAGGAGAAGCUGCUCACAGCCAGGCUGAAUGAGGGCUUUAGAGCCUCAGCCCCUGCUCCAAGCAAUGCUGGGAUGGAGCUGCUGGCCAGGUAUCCAUCAGGAAUUUGGUAUCUGCAGGGCAGGAAAAUAUUAUCACAGUCCUACCGCUCAGGCAAAACCAAAGCACGGCAAAGGGAAGUGCUAUGAACAGGAGGACUGAGUCACGCCCACUGCUUCUGGGAAGGAAAAGGAGUUGGGCAACGAGGCAAUUGUCUCUCUCUACCUUAGGGCUGCUCCUGGGUAACUGGAUUUACUUCAGCAGCUGCAGAGUGCGAGGCAGGUCAACCCCAGGCAGAGCGGGGAGAGAUGCUCCCAGGGCCGGGAGACGGCUCGCUGGGUUUUCCCAUCUGGCCCACCAUCAGCAGCGCUGCGUGGAGCGAGCGGGACACGGCUGCGAUAAAUGGGAAAGAUGGAGGAAUGGUGAAUAACGGUAAGGAAAGGUAAUGUCUUAGCGAUUAAAAAUAUAAUCAGUAUAUACAACCGGACCUGACUAUUUGAAAAAAUUAAUCUCACAGACCUAAUCUUGCUUCCUGUAGCCUAAAUAGCAUUUAAGUGGUGAAAGGGUGUUUUCCUGCUGGCAUGUGCAGGCUCUUAAGUAUCUCUAAUGUACAUAUAGCUCCAGUGAGGGAAACUAUUUCACCUGUACAGGUUAGUCUGCUUGAACUUACUGUCAUUCACUUUGGCAUCAAAACCAUAACUAGGCAAUCCUGGUACUUGGAGCACAGACCUGAAGUAAUAUGGUAAUGUGUUUAAAUCCUUUAACAUCAAGGGAACAUAAAUUUCAGGCUGUUCCCCAAAGUCUGCCAAAACUAGGUCUGACACCAAGUGCAACAUUUUAAAGAAAAAUUUCAACAAACACAAAUUUAGCAAAUAGGUAUUUACCUACCCAAAAAGAAACCCUGACACAGAAAGCAGCCCAAUGCCAUGGGAGCCGCGAGUAAAUACUGUGUAGUCCUAACUAGUAGGUGGAAAUACAUUUAAACAGUUAUCUAAUUAUGGUAUAAAUUUGGUUUGAGACACAGAGUUAAUAGCUAGGUUCGACAUGAAAUAGAAGAUUUAUGGUUUUUAAUUUAGUAUUUUAGAAGCAAAGUUAGGGUCUGACAAAACCCACUCAAGUCAACAGAAAGUCUCAUUCUAGCUUAAGUAGGCUUUAGAUCAAUUCCCUGGUGAGCACAGGCAU
Long non-coding RNA from Harpia harpyja (harpy eagle), 6462 nucleotides. RefSeq lists it as uncharacterized. Lineage: Eukaryota; Metazoa; Chordata; Aves; Accipitriformes; Accipitridae. The record is from RefSeq and is a predicted model, not a curated record. The transcript is spliced from 4 exons.